CACUGUACUUCAUUCCAUUCCCCUUUUGCCCUCCCCAAGAGUCAGACAGCAUUUUGUACUCAGUGAGCAUGCUUGGUCCUCUUUGGCCAUUUCAGAGGUUCCUCCCUUUACCUCCAUAUAAUUUUUUAAAAGUUCUUUGUACUUGUAGAAACAUGGUUCCCGCCUGCUGAUACCACCCCCUUGUGUUCAGGUGUUGCCAUUUUCAUAAGAAUGGCGCUUGUAACAUUUGAUUGCUAAUACAGUGGUACCCCGGGUUAUGAACUUACCGUAAUUCAUUCCGGAGGUCCUUAACUGGAAACAGUUCUUAACCUGAGGUACCACUUUAGCUAAUGGGGCCUCCUGCUGCCGCCACACAAUUUCUGUUCUCAUCCUGGGGCAAAGUUCUUAACUAGCGGAGUUUGUAACCCAAGGUGUUUGUAACCCAAGGUACCACUGUAUAUAACACUUGGGGUGUCCCCCAGCUUCCUCUGCUCGCCAAGCUGCCCGCCAUUCUCCCUCACAUUACUCCCUAGAGCUUCCCCUUGCCACCUCAUGCAACUACCUCAUGCAACUCUUUCCUGACCCAAUUCUGAAGCCACUUCUUGCUUCUAUUCUGCAGCCCCACUCUCCACCUGUGUUCCCAUGUCUAUACCUCCUUCCCUCUCCCUUAGAGCAGUUACUUUGCACACAAACCACCAAGUGUCAUCCCAUAUGUUCUACUGCAUUUUAUUGUCACUUUCCUUAUGGCAAAAGUGUGAUCUUUCAGAGAAGUGUGUUGUGUAAGAGCUCCAAAUCCGCUUUAAUUGUACAACCUGAAUUUGAUAGUUGUUUUAAAUUGUUCUAAGUGCACUGCUCAGAGAUUCUUUGAUUAAAGAGUUUAUAACUACUUCUCAGGAAGGAAGUAAAACUUUCUACAAUCUUUUGUAUUUUUUUGAGCUCUGAUAGCUAUAUGAUUCUUAACACGUUUAUGUUUCUGCCAGCUAAUCCAAUAUAGCACAGUCAGGAGGCACCCAGAAUAUCAAUCUUAUGCAUGCCUACAAUAAGUUCCAAUGAGUUCACUUGGACCUGUUCCCAGUUCCACAGAAUAACCAAAGUGGCUAUACUGUAUAGAGAAGCACCAGAGCAAGAGCAGGCCAACUACAGCACCUGCAGCAAGGAAGAAAACUGCAGAGGGCAACUCAAAGAAAAACAGUACAGCGUAUCGCACGCUUAGCAAAAUAGUAGCUGCAGAUGAGCAUCAAGAUCAAUCUUGGGCAAUUACAGAAAAGAGGCAUACAGCAAAAUGGACAUGUUUGUUCUCCCCUUCUUCUCUACUCUUUGCUGCACCUUUCAACAUCUGCUAGAAAAAUGGAAGCAGAAACAGCAGUUGCAGCACAAGCUAUAGAAAAAGGACAGCUUCCCCUUCGUCAUUUUCAUUUCUUCAGGCAGAAGAAAAGUUAAGACAUACGGUGCACGUUUUAAACUUACACAUCCAAGCUACUGAGGAUGCACUCUACACAACGUCCAGAACAAAUGCUGGGUCCCAACAAACUAUCAAUAACAGGACAAAAUGGCUACUGGAAAGUUAGAAAACUAGGAAUCCUACUUAUAAAUACAGUUGCACUCUGACUUCCUAUCUAGAAGAAUGUUUUCCCCUUUAGACAAAGCAUGCAGAAAUCAAUUUUCUACAAGAGACAUAAUACAGUAACACAGGAUACAAAAUGUACUGCUACAGGGAAGCCUGAAUCAAAAAUAAAAUGGAGGUUACCCAGAAGCAUAUAAAGAUUACCAUUUCUGAAAGAACUGCUUCUGCUGAAAAUAUUUCAUCCAUAAUAAAUGGUUGUUCCAAAGACCAAAGGGA
Molecule: long non-coding RNA, 1819 nt
Organism: Podarcis raffonei (Aeolian wall lizard)
Lineage: Eukaryota; Metazoa; Chordata; Lepidosauria; Squamata; Lacertidae
Exons: 4
Source: RefSeq, a predicted model, not a curated record